GUCUAUAGCCAUUCCACUCUGAAUCCAUCCUUAUUUGAUCUCAGAAGCUUAAGCAGUGCUGAGCCUGAUUAAGAACUUGGAUGGGAAACUGCAUGGGAAUAUGGGAUGCUGUAGACU
RNAcentral lists this ribosomal RNA (117 nucleotides) under Microcebus murinus (gray mouse lemur). The record is from RNAcentral. Lineage: Eukaryota; Metazoa; Chordata; Mammalia; Primates; Cheirogaleidae.